AGUGAACGCUGGCGGUAGGCCUAACACAUGCAAGUCGAACGGCAGCACAGUAAGAGCUUGCUCUUACGGGUGGCGAGUGGCGGACGGGUGAGGAAUACAUCGGAAUCUACUUUUUCGUGGGGGAUAACGUAGGGAAACUUACGCUAAUACCGCAUACGACCUACGGGUGAAAGCAGGGGAUCUUCGGACCUUGCGCGAUUGAAUGAGCCGAUGUCGGAUUAGCCAGUUGGCGGGGUAAAGGCCCACCAAGGCGACGAUCCGUAGCUGGUCUGAGAGGAUGAUCAGCCACACUGGAACUGAGACACGGUCCAGACUCCUACGGGAGGCAGCAGUGGGGAAUAUUGGACAAUGGGCGCAAGCCUGAUCCAGCCAUACCGCGUGGGUGAAGAAGGCCUUCGGGUUGUAAAGCCCUUUUGUUGGGAAAGAAAAGCAGCAGGUUAAUACCCCGCUGUUCUGACGGUACCCAAAGAAUAAGCACCGGCGAACUUCGU
RNAcentral lists this ribosomal RNA (491 nucleotides) under uncultured bacterium. Its description in RNAcentral is "partial 16S ribosomal RNA". It matches the Rfam family "Bacterial small subunit ribosomal RNA", at positions 29 to 506 of the family's 1533-position model. The record is from RNAcentral.